GGGCACAUGGUGUAGUUGGUUAUCACGCCUGCUUAGCAAUCCGCUUAUAUGACUAUAACUGAAAUUCGGUCACGUGUGCAGGAGGUGUUGGGUUCAAUUCCCAAUGUGUCCA
Molecule: non-coding RNA, 112 nt
Organism: Gymnopilus junonius
Lineage: Eukaryota; Fungi; Basidiomycota; Agaricomycetes; Agaricales; Galerinaceae
Source: the annotation of a GenBank genome assembly